RNAcentral lists this ribosomal RNA (484 nucleotides) under uncultured bacterium. RNAcentral describes it as "partial 16S ribosomal RNA". It matches the Rfam family "Bacterial small subunit ribosomal RNA", at positions 30 to 507 of the family's 1533-position model. The record is from RNAcentral.
AUUGAACGCUGGCGGCAGGCCUAACACAUGCAAGUCGAGCGGAUGAAGGGAGCUUGCUCCUGGAUUCAGCGGCGGACGGGGGGGUAAUGCCUAUGAAUCUGCCUGGUAGUGGGGGAUAACGUCCGGAAACGGGCGCUAAUACCGCAUACGUCCUGAGGUAGAAAGUGGGGGAGCUUCGGACGUCAUGCUAUCAGAUGAGCCUAGGUCGGAUUAGCUAGUUGGUGGGGUAAAGGCCUACCAAGGCGACGAUCCGUAACUGGUCUGAGAGGAUGAUCAGUCACACUGGAACUGAGACACGCUCCAGACUCCUACGGGAGGCAGCAGUGGGGAAUAUUGGACAAUGGGCGAAAGCCUGAUCCAGCCAUGCCGCGUGUGUGAAGAAGGGCUUCGGAUUGUAAAGCACUUUAAGUUGGGAGGAAGGACAGUAAGUUAAUACCUUGCUGUUUUGACGUUACCAAAAGAAUAAGCCCCGGCUAACUUCGUG